This 499-nucleotide ribosomal RNA is filed under the name uncultured bacterium. Its description in RNAcentral is "partial 16S ribosomal RNA". It matches the Rfam family "Bacterial small subunit ribosomal RNA", at positions 28 to 523 of the family's 1533-position model. The record is from RNAcentral.
GAUGAACGCUAGCUACAGGCUUAACACAUGCAAGUCGAGGGGUAGCAGGGUAGCAAUACCGCUGACGACCGGCGCACGGGUGAGUAACACGUAUCCAACCUUCCCAUUACUCGGGGAUAGCCUUUCGAAAGAAAGAUUAAUACCCGAUAGUACUUUUUCGAGGCAUCUCGUAAAAAGUUAAAGAUUUAUUGGUAAUGGAUGGGGAUGCGUUCCAUUAGAUUGUUGGUGAGGUAACGGCUCACCAAGUCUUCGAUGGAUAGGGGUUCUGAGAGGAAGGUCCCCCACAUUGGUACUGAGACACGGACCAAACUCCUACGGGAGGCAGCAGUGAGGAAUAUUGGUCAAUGGGCGAGAGCCUGAACCAGCCAAGUAGCGUGAAGGAUGAAGGUCCUAUGGAUUGUAAACUUCUUUUAUAGUAGAAUAAAGUGAGCCACGUGUGGUUUUUUGUAUGUACACUAUGAAUAAGGAUCGGCUAACUCCGUGCCAGCCGCCGCGGUAA